Molecule: ribosomal RNA, 332 nt
Filed under: uncultured bacterium
Lineage: Bacteria
Description: bacterial SSU rRNA
Rfam family: Bacterial small subunit ribosomal RNA
Source: RNAcentral
CGUGUAGGCGGUUGGAUAAGUCGGAUGUGAAAGCCCGGAGCUCAACUCCGGAAGUGCAUUCGAAACUGUCCUGCUCGAGUACGGGAGAGGAGAGUGGAAUUCCUGGUGUAGAGGUGAAAUUCGUAGAUAUCAGGAGGAACACCUGUGGCGAAGGCGGCUCUCUGGACCGAUACUGACGCUGAGACGCGAAAGCGUGGGGAGCAAACAGGAUUAGAUACCCCGGUAGUCCACGCUGUAAACGGUGAGCACUAGGUGUAGCGGGUAUUGACCCCUGCUGUGCCGACGCUAACGCAUUAAGUGCUCCGCCUGGGGAGUACGGCCGCAAGGUUAAA